AAUAUAAAGAUAAAAUUACUUUCUCAUCAAGGUGGCUACAUACAGGUUCACAAAUUUCUAUUUCUCCAGAAUUAUUAACUCUUCCCACUCUCUCCUUUUUCCAUAUUUUCUAUUUUAUUUCAACUAUCAAAUAUUCAAAACACUCAUUUUCCUAUUUUUUUCAACUCUACGUAACCCAGAUGUAUAAUCUUUCCCUUUUCUUCCAUUAUUAUUUAUCAAACCUACUUCAGAUUAUUCUUCUUUCUUCUCCCUACAACUUACAUAUACCUAUUCUCACUUUUACACUAAUUCAUGUACACACCUUCAACCAAUCCUCUACUUAACUCUUUUCUCUUUUUUCUCUCUUUUCUUUUGUUUUCAAGACCAACAUCCAACACCACACCUUACUUUAAAAAAAAAAAAAGAAUCCAUGCAACUAAACUACCUCUCCUUACUUUCUUUGUUUUUGGUCUCCACUCAUUCCUCCUUCUCUUCCACAAAAAGGAAUAGAAACUCUCAUUUUC
This 503-nucleotide long non-coding RNA is filed under the name Vigna radiata. Its description in RNAcentral is "long non-coding RNA (VRAD_LNC004231)". Lineage: Eukaryota; Viridiplantae; Streptophyta; Magnoliopsida; Fabales; Fabaceae. The record is from RNAcentral.